Gossypium arboreum is the source of this 142-nucleotide microRNA precursor. It matches the Rfam family "MIR7502 microRNA precursor family". Lineage: Eukaryota; Viridiplantae; Streptophyta; Magnoliopsida; Malvales; Malvaceae. The record is from Rfam.
UAUUAAAAUGUCAUCUAUUUGUACUAUUAAAAUCAGUGUGUUUGACGGAAUAACUAAAUAGCACAUGUGGUGUGUCACGUGUAUAUCAUGCUGACGUACAAAAAUUAGUUUUUAAUAUAAUAAAUGGAUGAAAUUUUUAACA